RNAcentral lists this long non-coding RNA (2927 nucleotides) under Ornithorhynchus anatinus (platypus). Its description in RNAcentral is "lncRNA (ENSOANG00000043346.1)". The record is from RNAcentral. Lineage: Eukaryota; Metazoa; Chordata; Mammalia; Monotremata; Ornithorhynchidae.
GGGGACGGGCGCUCGACCUCCAGGUUUCGGAGUCUCCGAGGGACGGGCCCCCGAAGAUACGCAGCUCUCGAAGCGGACCCCGAAACCCCCCCCCCCCCGCCCCGCAAAAAAAAACUUCUAGCUCGCCCCGGGUCGCGUCCUUCUCCCAUCAGCCUCCCCGACCCAUCGCUCCCGCACCGGUCGCGGCUGGUCCUCGGCAGUUUCAUCACGGAAUCGCCAAAAGAUGCGAUUUCCUAACAGCGGGGCGACGAUCCGUGCGAUUCCGAUCGCGUCGCCGACGCGAAGCGACGGGGAGAAAUGGGCCCCCGCCCCGAGAGACGCCGAUCGGCGGGGACCGACCACCCCCCCCCCCCCCCCCGCCGCCCCCCGGCCCGGACUCGCGGACCCCUCGCCCCGUGUCUCCCCGCUGGGCCCCUUCGAGUGCCGCGUCCCGGGGCGCCCCGGCCGAACGCUACCUUCUCUCAGGUGGGUCCGGGCUCCCUUCGGUCGGCUCACCGGUGGCGAGGCGCGGGAGCAGCUGCCGAAGGGGAAGGCGAAGGGAUCGUGAGGUCACACCGUUCGGCCCGCUCCCGGGGAGACCCACCGGAAAGGGUUCGAUGCCGAAAGUUAACGAGGCGGGCGGACGGACGGACGGACGGACGGAAGGCCCUGCCCUGGGUGGGUGGUGGGAGAGGUUACGGUGGAGGGAGGCGAUGGCCUUGGGACUGAGUAGCCUCUGGAGAGAGGGACUCUCGGGAACGGGGCGCGUAGAUGCUUUCCCUUGGUCCGCUCUGGAUAGAGUCAUCCCGUCUCUCGGUCCUUUAGUCUCUCGGUCCUCGGUCCUGCUGGCUCCUCUGCAUUUACUUGCGCUGGCUUCGCUAGUGCGGGUUGGAGAGGGUGAGCGGAGGAGAGCGGAUGAGCACUCCUCGGUUCCCGUCGGAUGGCACGCUCCCGGGAGCUCGGUACGGUGCUCUGCACGUAGUAAGGGCUCGAUGAAUUCCGCUGAUCCGUUUGGGAAAGAUCCGAUCCCUUCGGUCGGCCCGCUCCCUGUCCGGGAAGUGCUUCCUUUGGGCCAAGAGCCGUGCUAAGCGGCUGGGGUAGAUACAGCGCCGUCGGAUCAGCUCCGGUCCCUACCCCACAAGGGGCUCCCAGUCCGAAGGGGAAGGAGAGCGGGGAUCUCGUCCUCGUUUUACGCAGGGGAAAACCGAGGCCCACGGAGGCUCGGUGACCGGCCCGGGGUCGCGCAGCGGGCCGGGGACGGAGCUGGGAAUGAAACCGAAUCUCCCGAUUCCCAGGAGAUCGAGCGGUCGGUCGGUCGGUCGGUCGGUCGGUCACGGGCGUGGAACGGUGUCCCGUGUACUGAGUGCUCGGGAGAGUUGGGCGUAAUUGUGUCGGUAGACGUGUUCCCCGCCCCCGAGGGGCUUACGGUCUAGAGGGGGAGGCAGCCGUUAAGAGAGAUUACAGCUACGGGCAUAAAUGCCGCGGGGUUGAAUGCGGGGAGACUGGCCUGCGCUUAAAGGGUGCAGAUACGAGUGUAGGGAAGACUCAGAGCGGGGGAGAGAGAGGGUAGGAGAAACGAGGGCUUCGCCGGGGAAGUCCCCUCGGAGAAGUAAUUUUAAUAAGGCUUCGAAGGGGGAGAGAGCCAUGGCUUGUCAACCCAUCGGUGGUAUUCACCGAGUGCUUACCGCGUGCAAGGCGCUGAACUAAACGCUUGGGAGGGGAACGACGCACCAAUAUGACAGAUAGGUUUCCUGCCCACGGUAAGGUUACAGUCUGUAGGAUGUGAAGGGGGAUGGAGUUCCAGGCCAGAGGCAGGGAACGGGCCAGGUGUCGGCGGCAAGGCAGUCGAGUUCGAAGUACGGCGAGUAGGUCGGCAUUGGAGGUUGCCAUUACAAACUGUGCAGGCUGGAUUGGAGUAGGAAAUCGGGGAGGCGGGAUAGGACGGGGAGAGCUGAUUGAGUGCUUUAAAACCAACGGUGAGGAGUGUCUGUCUGAUGCAGAGAUGGAUGGGCAACCCCUGGAGGUUCUCGAGGAGUGGGGGAAAUGUGGACUCUACGUUUCCGUGGAAAAACGAUCCGAGCGACAGAGCCAAGUCGGGGAGAGACGAGGGGCAGCGGGGUGAGCGAAGAAGUUCAGACUCAAGUAGUCGAGGUGGGAAAGGUCAAGCGCUUGGAUCGGCCUAGCGGCGGUCCGGAUGGAGAGGGAAGGGUGGAUUUUAGAAAUGUUGUGAAGGUAGGACCGACGGGAUUUGGUGACAGACGGAACGUGUAGGUCGAAUGAAUGAAACGAGUUGAGGAUGACGCCAGGCUUACAGGCUUGUGAGAGACGGCGGUGCCGUCUACGGCGAUGGAGAUGUCAGAGAGGGGGCAGGGUUUGAGUGGGAAGAUGGCUUCUUUUUUGGACUUGCUAAAUUCUAGCUGUGGGUGGGUCACCCAAACGGAGAUGUCUUGGAGGCAGGAGGAAAUGACUGCGGAGAAAGAGAGAGGUCGAGGCCGGAGAUGCAGAUCUGGGAAUCAUCAGCGUAGAGUUCUUCGCGGGAGUGAAUUCCUUCUCCCAGGAACUGGGUGUGGAUGGAGAAGAGGACCCAGAACCGAGCCCUGGGGGACUCCCACAGUUAGGGGGUGGGAGACAGAGGAGGAGCCGGCAGAAGAGACUGAGAAUGAGCAGCCAGAGAGAUAAGAGGAGAAUCGGGAGAGGACAGGGAAGCCAAGCUAAGAUAGGGAUUCCGAGAGAAGGGAGCGGCCUACCGUGUUCGAGGCAGCCGAGAGGUGGAGGAGGAUUAGGAAGUCGUAGAGGCCAUUGAAUUCGGCAAAAGGGAGAUCCGCGGUGGCCUUCGAGAGGGCGGUUUCCACGGAGCGGAGGGGGCGGAAGCCAGAUGAGCGGGGGCCGAGGGGAGAGCCCCAGGAGAGAAAGUGGAGACGAUGGGUGUAGGCAACUAGCUCGCGGAG